This 496-nucleotide ribosomal RNA is filed under the name uncultured bacterium. Its description in RNAcentral is "partial 16S ribosomal RNA". It matches the Rfam family "Bacterial small subunit ribosomal RNA", at positions 29 to 507 of the family's 1533-position model. The record is from RNAcentral.
AUGCACGCUGGCGGCGUGCCUAAUACCUGCAAGUCGAGCGAACGGACGAGAAGCUUGCUUCUCUGAUGUUAGCGGCGGACGGGUGAGUAACACGUGGAUAACCUACCUAUAAGACUGGGAUAACUUCGGGAAACCGUAGCUAAUACCGGAUAAUAUUUUGAACCGCAUGGUUCAAAAGUGAAAGACGGUCUUGCUGUCACUUAUAGAUGGAUCCGCGCUGCAUUGGCUAGUUGGUAAGGUAACGGCUUACCAAGGCAACGAUGCAUAGCCGACCUGAGAGGGUGAUCGGCCACACUGGAACUGAGACACGGUCCAGACUCCUACGGGAGGCAGCAGUAGGGAAUCUUCCGCAAUGGGCGAAAGCCUGACGGAGCAACGCCGCGUGAGUGAUGAAGGUCUUCGGAUCGUAAAACUCUGUUAUUAGUGAAGAACAUAUGUGUAAGUAACUGUGCACAUCUUGACGGUACCUAAUCAGAAAGCCACGGCUAACUACGUG